GCUCAGCUAGCUCAGUCGGUAGAGCAUGAGACUCUUAAUCUCAGGGUCAUGAGUUCAAGUCCCAUGUUGGCCG
This is a transfer RNA of Neotoma lepida (desert woodrat), 73 nucleotides long. It matches the Rfam family "tRNA". From Rfam's summary of the family: Transfer RNA (tRNA) molecules are approximately 80 nucleotides in length. The record is from Rfam. NCBI's taxonomy places the organism in Eukaryota, Metazoa, Chordata, Mammalia, Rodentia, Cricetidae.